RNAcentral lists this ribosomal RNA (411 nucleotides) under uncultured bacterium. Its description in RNAcentral is "bacterial SSU rRNA". It matches the Rfam family "Bacterial small subunit ribosomal RNA", at positions 29 to 429 of the family's 1533-position model. The record is from RNAcentral.
AACGAACGCUGGCGGCGUGCUUAACACAUGCAAGUCGAACGGGUUUAUUGGAUGUAGCAAUACAUUCAAUAGAUUAGUGGCGCACGGGUGAGUAACACGUAGGUAAUCUGCCUUUAGGUCUGACACAACUCGUCGAAAGACGGGCUAAUAUCAGAUAAUGCAGCGAUCCGGCAUCGGGUUGUUGUCAAAGCUUCGGCGCCCAAAGAUGAGCCUGCGGUCCAUUAGGUAGUUGGCGGAGUAACGGCCCACCAAGCCAACGAUGGAUAGCUGGUCUGAGAGGAUGAUCAGCCACACUGGAACUGAGACACGGUCCAGACUCCUACGGGAGGCAGCAGUAAGGAAUAUUGCUCAAUGGCCGAAAGGCUGAAGCAGCAACGCCGCGUGAAGGAUGAAGGGUCUUUGGCUUGUAAA